GAUGAACGCUGGCGGCGUGCCUAAUACAUGCAAGUCGAGCGAACGGACGAGAAGCUUGCUUCUCUGAUGUUAGCGGCGGACGGGUGAGUAACACGUGGAUAACCUACCUAUAAGACUGGGAUAACUUCGGGAAACCGGAGCUAAUACCGGAUGAUAUUUUGAACCGCAUGGUUCAAAAGUGAAAGACGGUCUUGCUGUCACUUAUAGAUGGAUCCGCGCUGCAUUAGCUAGUUGGUAAGGUAACGGCUUACCAAGGCAACGAUGCAUAGCCGACCUGAGAGGGGGAUCGGCCACACGGGAGCUGGGACGCGGUCCGGGCGCCUACGGGAGGCAGCAGUAGGGAAUGGGCGGCAAUGGGGGAGAGCCUGGCGGAGCGGCGCGGCGUGGGUGAGGGAGGGGUUGGGAGCGGAAAACUCUGUUAUUAGGGAAGAACAUAUGUGUAAGUAACUGUGCACAUCUUGACGGUACCUAAUCAGAAAGCCACGGCUAACUACGUG
RNAcentral lists this ribosomal RNA (497 nucleotides) under uncultured bacterium. Its description in RNAcentral is "partial 16S ribosomal RNA". It matches the Rfam family "Bacterial small subunit ribosomal RNA", at positions 28 to 507 of the family's 1533-position model. The record is from RNAcentral.